AUUUCGAUUAUUCUCCUCGAUGGAUUCUAUGUUAAAACAUACAUUGCUAACACUAGAAAACUUUCUGCUUCUUUCUAUUGAGAUGAAAAAGGAGAAAAAGUAGAUUUCUAGGGCUGCAAAAUUCAUAAAAAAUGGGAACCAUUAACUAGAAUUCUCUUUUUUUUAUUUGCAGUAGUAAACGAGUCUUAAAUGUGUAUCUUCCCCCCUCUUCCUUUUAAAGGCAUAAUAAAAGAUUCUUUUUUUAUACCUAAUCCAUGUAUAGGUAAACUCCAGGUCCGAACAGCAUUAUUAUCCAAAGAUCCCCUUUAUGUACAU
Molecule: long non-coding RNA, 315 nt
Filed under: Brachypodium distachyon (stiff brome)
Lineage: Eukaryota; Viridiplantae; Streptophyta; Magnoliopsida; Poales; Poaceae
Description: long non-coding RNA (BDIS_LNC003295)
Source: RNAcentral